Molecule: ribosomal RNA, 269 nt
Filed under: uncultured bacterium
Lineage: Bacteria
Description: partial 16S ribosomal RNA
Rfam family: Bacterial small subunit ribosomal RNA
Source: RNAcentral
GUCCACGCCGUAAACGAUGAGUGCUAGGUGUUGUGGGGUGUUGACCCCCGCAGUGCCGCAGCUAACGCAUUAAGCACUCCGCCUGGGAAGGUACGGCCGCAAGGCUAAAACUACAAGGAAUUGACGGGGGCCCGGCACAAGCGGUGGAGCAUGUGGUUUAAUUCGACGCAACGCGCAGAACCUUACCUGGUCUUGACAUCCUCGGAACCUGUUGGAGACAACGGGGUGCUCGCAAGAGAGCCGAGAGACAGGUGCUGCAUGGCUGUCGU